AUUGAACGCUGGCGGCAUGCCUUACACAUGCAAGUCGAACGGUAACGGGCCUUCGGGUGCCGACGAGUGGCGAACGGGUGAGUAAAACAUCGGAACGUGCCCGAUCGGGGGGGUAAACGAGGCGAAAGUUUUGCUAAUACCCCAAACGAUCUACGGAUGAAAGCAGGGGCCCGCAAGGCCUGUCCCGGACGGAGCGGCCAAUGGCAGAUUAGGUAGUUGGUGGGAUAAAAGCUUACCAAGCCGACGAUCUGUAGCUGGUCUGAGAGGAUGACCAGCCACACUGGGACUGAGACACGGCCCAGACUCCUACGGGAGGCAGCAGUGGGGAAUUUUGGACAAUGGGCGCAAGCCUGAUCCAGCCAUGCCGCGUGCAGGAUGAAGGCCUUCGGGUUGUAAACUGCUUUUGUACGGAACGAAAAGCCUUCUUUUAAUACAGGAGGGUCAUGACGGUACCGUAAGAAUAAGCACCGGCUAACUACGUG
Molecule: ribosomal RNA, 482 nt
Filed under: uncultured bacterium
Lineage: Bacteria
Description: partial 16S ribosomal RNA
Rfam family: Bacterial small subunit ribosomal RNA
Source: RNAcentral